UUCCCUACGGGACGCAGCAGUGGGGGAUAUUGCACAAUGGGGGGAACCCUGAUGCAGCGACGCCGCGUGGGUGAAGAAGCGCCUCGGCGCGUAAAGCCCUGUCAGCAGGGAAGAAAAUGACGGUACCUGAAGAAGAAGCCCCGGCUAACUACGUGCCAGCAGCCGCGGUAAUACGUAGGGGGCAAGCCUUAUCCGGAUUUACUGGGUGUAAAGGGAGCGUAGACGGCAGUGCAAGUCCGGAGUGAAAGCCCGGGGCUCAACCCUGGGACUGCUCUGGAAACUGUAAAGCUGGAGUGCGGGAGGGG
This 305-nucleotide ribosomal RNA is filed under the name uncultured bacterium. RNAcentral's name for it is "bacterial SSU rRNA". It matches the Rfam family "Bacterial small subunit ribosomal RNA", at positions 335 to 657 of the family's 1533-position model. The record is from RNAcentral.